RNAcentral lists this ribosomal RNA (312 nucleotides) under uncultured bacterium. RNAcentral's name for it is "bacterial SSU rRNA". It matches the Rfam family "Bacterial small subunit ribosomal RNA", at positions 28 to 334 of the family's 1533-position model. The record is from RNAcentral.
GAUGAACGCUAGCGACAGGCUUAACACAUGCAAGUCGAGGGGCAGCGAGGGCGUAGCAAUACGCCUGUCGGCGACCGGCGCACUGGUGAGUAACACGUAUGCGACCUGCCCCCUACAGGGGUAUAACCCGUAGAAAUGCGGACUAAUCCCCCAUAGUCCUGGGUGCUGCAUGGCAUUCAGGGGAAAGGUCAGCCGGUAGGGGAUGGGCAUGCGGCGCAUUAGCUAGUUGGCGGGGCAACGGCCCACCAAGGCGACGAUGCGUAGGGGUUCCGAGAGGUUGAACGGCCACAUUGGGACUGAGACACGGCCCAG